GGAGCUUGCUCCUUUGACGUUAGCGGCGGACGGGUGAGUAACACGUGGAUAACCUACCUAUAAGACUGGGAUAACUUCGGGAAACCGGAGCUAAUACCGGAUAACAUAUUGAACCGCAUGGUUCAAUAGUGAAAGGCGGCUUUGCUGUCACUUAUAGAUGGAUCCGCGCCGUAUUAGCUAGUUGGUAAGGUAACGGCUUACCAAGGCAACGAUACGUAGCCGACCUGAGAGGGUGAUCGGCCACACUGGAACUGAGACACGGUCCAGACUCCUACGGGAGGCAGCAGUAGGGAAUCUUCCGCAAUGGGCGAAAGCCUGACGGAGCAACGCCGCGUGAGUGAUGAAGGUCUUCGGAUCGUAAAACUCUGUUAUCAGGGAAGAACAAAUGUGUAAGUAACUGUGCACAUCUUGACGGUACCUGAUCAGAAAGCCACGGCUAACUACGUGCCAGCAGCCGCGGUAAUACGUAGGUGGCAAGCGUUAUCCGGAAUUAUUGGGCGUAAAGCGCGCGUAGGCGGUUUUUUAAGUCUGAUGUGAAAGCCCACGGCUCAACCGUGGAGGGUCAUUGGAAACUGGAAAACUUGAGUGCAGAAGAGGAAAGUGGAAUUCCAUGGGUUAAACCG
This 623-nucleotide ribosomal RNA is filed under the name Staphylococcus warneri. RNAcentral describes it as "bacterial SSU rRNA". It matches the Rfam family "Bacterial small subunit ribosomal RNA", at positions 75 to 695 of the family's 1533-position model. The record is from RNAcentral. Lineage: Bacteria; Bacillati; Bacillota; Bacilli; Caryophanales; Staphylococcaceae.